This is an RNA transcript of Sapajus apella (tufted capuchin), 1178 nucleotides long. It is a transcript of the gene named nucleophosmin pseudogene, with no coding region annotated. The record is from RefSeq and is a predicted model, not a curated record. The transcript has 2 exons. NCBI's taxonomy places the organism in Eukaryota, Metazoa, Chordata, Mammalia, Primates, Cebidae.
CUGGUGUGAGUCCAUCCUGGGCUGCUGUUCUUUUGAGCAGUGGUCGUUUAUCUCCGUCCGCCUUCUCUUCCACCUAAGUGCGUGUCGCCACCCGAUGGAAGAUUCGAUGGACAUGGACAUGAGCUCCCUGAGGCCCCAGAAUUAUCUUUUCGGUUGUGAACUAAAGGCCGACAAAGAUUAUCACUUUAAGAUGGAUAAUGAUGAAAAUGAGCACCAGUUAUCUUUAAGAACGGUCAGUUUAGGAGCUGGUGCAAAGGAUGAAUUGCACAUUGUUGAAGCAGAGGCAAUGAAUUACGAAGGCAGUCCAAUUAAAGUAACACUGGCAGCUUUGAAAAUGUCUGUACAGCCAAUGGUUUCCCUUGGGGCUUUGAAAUAACACCACCAGUGGUCUUACGAUUGAAGUGUGGUUCAGGGCCAGUGUAUGCUAGUGGACAGCACUUAGUAGCUGUGGAGGAAGAUGCAGAGUCAGAAGAUGAGGAGGAGGAUAUGAAACUCUUAAGCUGAUGAAGAUGAUGAUGAUUUUGAUGAGGAAACUGAAGAAAAAGUGCCAGUGAAGAAUAUAUGCGAUACUCCAGCCAAAAAUGCACAUAAGUCAAAUCAGAAUGGAAAAGACUCAAAACCAUCAUCAACACCAAGAUCAAAAGGACAAGAAUCCUUCAAAAAACAGGAAAAAACUCCUAAAACACCAAAAGGACCUAGUUCUAUAGAAGACAUUAAAGCAAAAAUGCAAGCAAGUAUAGAAAAAGAUGGUUCUCUUCCCAAAGUGGAAGCCAAGUUCAUCAGUUAUGUGAAGAAUUGCUUCUGGAUGACUGACCAGGAGGCUAUUCAAGAUCUCUGGCAGUGGAGGAAGUCUCUUUAAGAAAAUAGUUUAAACAAUUUGUUAAAAAUUUUCCAUCUUAUUUCAUUUCUGUGACAGUUGAUAUCUGGCUGUCCUUUUUUUUAAUGCAGAGUGAGAAUUUUCCCUACUGUGGUUGAUAAAUGUUGUCAAGAUACCAUUGCCAAGAAUGUGUUGUCCAAAAUGCCUGUAGUUUUUAAAGAUGGAACUCCACCCUUUGCUUGGUUUUAAGUAUGUAUGGAAUGUUAUGACAGGGCAUAGAAGUGGUGGUCAGACAUGGAAAUGGUGGGGAGACAAAAGUAUACAUGUGAAAUAAAACUCAGUAUUUUAAUAAAGUAAAAAA